RNAcentral lists this ribosomal RNA (253 nucleotides) under uncultured bacterium. Its description in RNAcentral is "partial 16S ribosomal RNA". It matches the Rfam family "Bacterial small subunit ribosomal RNA", at positions 524 to 776 of the family's 1533-position model. The record is from RNAcentral.
UACGUAGGGGGCAAGCGUUGUCCGGAAUCAUUGGGCGUAAAGAGCGUGUAGGCGGCCCGGUAAGUCCGCUGUGAAAGUCCAGGGCUCAACCUUGGGAUGCCGGUGGAUACUGUCGGGCUCGAGUCCGGAAGAGGAGUGUGGAAUUCCUGGUGUAGCGGUGAAAUGCGCAGAUAUCAGGAGGAACACCAGUGGCGAAGGCGGCGACCUGGACAGAUAUUGACGCUGAGGUGCGAAAGCGUGGGGAGCAAACAGG